This 717-nucleotide small RNA is filed under the name Pan troglodytes (chimpanzee). RNAcentral describes it as "processed transcript". The record is from RNAcentral. Lineage: Eukaryota; Metazoa; Chordata; Mammalia; Primates; Hominidae.
GCCUGCUGUAUACCAAAGCUAAGUCUGAGCAUCUAGGGUGGAGGAGGGCUGGUAGAAAGAGGACAUCUGAGCGAGGGAACAGACUCAGAAGGUAUUCCUUUCGUGUGAACAUCUAUUCAACACUUAACGCCUACUGUAUACUAAAAAUAGUGCUGGACAUCACGGAGAAUAGAGAAGAAGAGGAAUCAGAGCGUUACGUGUCUCCGCAGUAAAGGGAACAAAGCCAGACACCAGUGCUUUUAGCAUUUGCUCAUUCAUUUACCACUUACUGAAUGCCGGGCCCCUUGUGAAGAGACGCAUCAUAAGAAUCAUAAUAAUCAUGGUAAUAGCUACUACUUAGAAAGGACUUACUGUGUGCUUAGUAGUGUCUUAAGGCUUUCCAUAGCAUGAACUCAUUUCGUCCACAGCAAACCCAUGUGGGGCAAAAUACUUCAAAGGGAAAAAGAUCCAUGGAGAAAUUGACAUUAAAGUAGAACAGGCCGAAUUCUCUGAUCUCAACCUUGUGGCCCAUGCCAAUGGUGGAUUCUCUGUGGAUAUGGAAGUUCUUCGGAACGGGGUGAAGGUCGUGCGGUCUCUGAAGCCGGAUUUUGUGCUGAUCCGCCAGCACGCCUUCAGCAUGGCACGCAACGGAGACUACCGCAGUUUGGUCAUUGGGCUGCAGUAUGCUGGAAUCCCCAGUGUUAACUCCUUGCAUUCUGUCUACAACUUCUGUGACAA